Molecule: small nucleolar RNA, 97 nt
Filed under: Penicillium decumbens
Lineage: Eukaryota; Fungi; Ascomycota; Eurotiomycetes; Eurotiales; Aspergillaceae
Description: A. fumigatus snoRNA Afu_335
Rfam family: A. fumigatus snoRNA Afu_335
Source: Rfam by way of RNAcentral
UCGCAUGAUGAAUUUCCUGAUAGGGACAUCCGAUGCAAAACGCAUAUGAUGUGAACAGGUCAAGAGAUUUUAGUAGAUGCUUCUUGUUUAUCUGAAG